GACGAACGCUGGCGGCGUGCUUAACACAUGCAAGUCGAGCGGUAAGGCCCUUUCGGGGGUACACGAGCGGCGAACGGGUGAGUAACACGUGGGUGACCUGCCCUCAGCUCUGGGAUAAGCCUGGGAAACUGGGUCUAAUACCGGAUAUGACUCCAUGACGCAUGUUGUGGGGUGGAAAGCCUUGUGCGGCUGAGGAUGGGCCCGCGGCCUAUCAGCUUGUUGGUGGGGNGAUGGCCUACCAAGGCGACGACGGGUAGCCGGCCUGAGAGGGCGACCGGCCACACUGGGACUGAGACACGGCCCAGACUCCUACGGGAGGCAGCAGUGGGGAAUAUUGGACAAUGGGCGAAAGCCUGAUCCAGCCAUGCCGCGUGAGUGACGAAGGCCUAGGGUUGUAAAGCUCUUUUGGCGGGGAAGAUAAUGACGGUACCCGCAGAAUAAGCU
Molecule: ribosomal RNA, 444 nt
Filed under: uncultured bacterium
Lineage: Bacteria
Description: bacterial SSU rRNA
Rfam family: Bacterial small subunit ribosomal RNA
Source: RNAcentral